GACGAACUGUCCAAACGUUGUUCGGAAUCACUGGGCUUAAAGGGCGCGUAGGCGGUCGUGACAAGUCACUUGUGAAAUCUCCGGGCUUAACUCGGAACGGUCAAGUGAUACUGUCGGACUAGAGUACAGAAGGGGCAACUGGAAUUCUCGGUGUAGCGGUGAAAUGCGUAGAUAUCGAGAGGAACACCUGCGGCGAAGGCGGGUUGCUGGGCUGAUACUGACGCUGAGGCGCGAAAGCCAGGGGAGCGAACGGG
This 254-nucleotide ribosomal RNA is filed under the name uncultured bacterium. RNAcentral's name for it is "partial 16S ribosomal RNA". It matches the Rfam family "Bacterial small subunit ribosomal RNA", at positions 524 to 776 of the family's 1533-position model. The record is from RNAcentral.